GCUGCGCCAUAUUGUCGGUUAGAAUACCGGCCUGUCACGCCGGGGGUCGCGGGUUCGAGUCCCGUCCGCUGCGCCA
This 76-nucleotide transfer RNA is filed under the name Pseudomonas fluorescens ICMP 11288. RNAcentral's name for it is "tRNA-Asp". The stretch from base 9 to 65 matches the Rfam family "tRNA", at positions 10 to 63 of the family's 71-position model. Rfam says of the family: Transfer RNA (tRNA) molecules are approximately 80 nucleotides in length. Their secondary structure includes four short double-helical elements and three loops (D, anti-codon, and T loops). Further hydrogen bonds mediate the characteristic L-shaped molecular structure. tRNAs have two regions of fundamental functional importance: the anti-codon, which is responsible for specific mRNA codon recognition, and the 3' end, to which the tRNAs corresponding amino acid is attached (by aminoacyl-tRNA synthetases). tRNAs cope with the degeneracy of the genetic code in two manners: having more than one tRNA (with a specific anti-codon) for a particular amino acid; and 'wobble' base-pairing, i.e. permitting non-standard base-pairing at the 3rd anti-codon position. Lineage: Bacteria; Pseudomonadati; Pseudomonadota; Gammaproteobacteria; Pseudomonadales; Pseudomonadaceae. The record is from RNAcentral.